AUGAGCGGCACCGGCAUGCAAGACAUGGCAUUUCAAGCUUUGGAGGCAUUCAAGGUUCAACACAACGGCAAGUGCUUCAACCUCUCCCAUUGCUUUCGGGUCAUCAAGGACGAGGAGAAGUUCAAGGCGCAAUAUACCACCCUCAAGUCGCGUGGGGGGAAGAAAGCCAUGGAGGAGGUUGGGGAGGGCAAGCCGGCACGGUCGCGGGGAAAGACCAACUCCAAGAAGGAGGACAAGCAGGAUGCGGCAUCCAACGCCUUGAUCGCAAGCGUGGAGGGCAUGAUGAACAAGAAGGACUCAAGGGAGGAGGAGCGCCGGCGUUUCAAGGUGGAGCAAAUGGACGCUUUCAUGGAGAUCCAAAGGAGGAGGCUUGAGAUGGACGCGGAGAAGCAAGCCAAGAUGUUCGAGCUCGAGGUGGAGAAGCAAGCCAAGAUGCUAGAGAUCGAGGCUGAUGUCGUGGUUCUAACUCUGACAGUGAUGUAG
Molecule: ribosomal RNA, 483 nt
Filed under: Triticum aestivum (bread wheat)
Lineage: Eukaryota; Viridiplantae; Streptophyta; Magnoliopsida; Poales; Poaceae
Description: partial small subunit ribosomal RNA
Source: RNAcentral